GUAGGGGGUCCCAUUUAGGGUUAGGGUUAGAGGGUCCCUAUUAGGGUUAUGGGGUCCCUAUUAGGGGUAGGGGGUCCCAAUUAGGGUUAGGGUUAAGGGGUCCCUAUUAGGGUUAUGGGGUCCCAAUUAGGGUUAGGGUCCCUAUUAGGGGUAGGGGACGGGUUAAGGGGUCUCAAUGUUAGGGUUAUGGGGUCCCUAUUAUGGUUAGGGUCCCUAUUAGGGUUAAGGGUAGGGGUCGCAAUUAGGGUUAGGGGGUCCCUAAGCCCCCCCAUAAUAGGGUUAGGGGUAGGGGGUCCCUAUUAGGGUUAUGGGGUCCCAAAUAGGGGUAGGGGGUCCCUAAGCCCCCCCAAGUAAGGCCUCAUUUCCGCCCCCCCUCCAAUAUGGCUCCAUUUCCGGUUAGACCCCCUAAAAUAUGGCUCCAUUUCCGGUUAGACCCCCUAAAAUAUGGCUCCAUUUCCGGUCCCCUCCCAAAAUGGCUCCACUUCCGGUUCCCUCCCAAACUGGCUGCACUUCCUGAUCGCCCCUCCCAAAAUGGCUCCAUUUCCGGACCGCCCUUCCCAAGAUGGCUCCACUUCCGGUCUCACCGUUGCUAUCCGUUCUGACGUCACUGGGCGGCACUCGGGCAGUGCCGUUGCCGGGGGUCUGUGCAGCGCCGCGUCCAGGGCGGUUCCGAUGGCGGUUCCACCCGUCAGAGCCGCGAACACCCACAGGAAAACACGGUCCACCAACAUGGCGGCGAAACGCCACUGCUCACGGAGCUGCAACGGGAACGAGCCUUGCACCACGGCUUGCACGGCUGCUUUGCACCACGGCUUUGCACGGCUGCUUUGCACGAGUGCUUUGCACCACGGCUUGCACGGCUGCUUUGCACNUUGCACCACGGCUUGCACGGCUGCUUUGCACCACGGCUUUGCACGGCUGCUUUGCACGAGUGCUUUGCACCACGGCUUGCACGGCUGCUUUGCACGGCUGCUUUGCAUGGCUGCUUUGCACCACGGCUUUGCAUGACUUUGCAUGGCUGAGUGCACAGCAGCAAUGCAAUGCAUGGUUCUGCUGCAAGGCUUUGCAAUGCACGGCUGUGCUGCAAGGCUGUGCAAUGCAGCAGCCUUGCACCACGGCUUUGCACAACUGCUUUGCACGGCUGCUUUGCACAACGGCUUUGCACCACAGCUUUGCACGGCUGCUUUGCACAGCUGCUUUGCACCACGGCUUUGCACGGCUGCUUUGCACAGCUGCUUUGCACGGCUGAUUGCACAGCGACUUUGCAUGGCUGAUUGCACGGCUGCUUUGCACGGCAGCUUUGCAUGGCUGAUGGCACGGCAGCAAUGCAAUGCAUGGCUGUGCUGCAAGGCUUUGCAAUGCAUGGCUUUGCACUGCAGGAGGGGGAGUUAACACGCCUUGCACGACAGCUUUGCACCACGGCUUUGCACGGCUGAUUGCACGGCUGAUUGCACGGCAGCAAUGCAAUGCACGGCUCUGCUGCCAGGCUUUGCAAUGCAUGGCCUUGCACUGCAGGAGGGGGAGUUAACACGCCUUGCACUACAGCUUUGCACGGCUGCUUUGCACGGCUGAUUGCACAGCAGCAAUGCAAUGCACGGCUGUGCUGCAAGGCUGUGCAAUGCAUAGCUUUGCAUUGCAGGAGGGGGAGUUAACAUGUCUUGCACCACGGCUUUGCACGGCUGCUUUGCACCACGGCUUUGCAUGACUUUGCAUGGCUGAGUGCACAGCAGCAAUGCAAUGCAUGGUCCUGCUGCAAGGCUUUGCAAUGCAUGGCUGUGCUGCAAGGCUUUGCAACGCACGGCUUUGCACUGCAGCGGGGGGUGCUUAACACGCCUUGCACCACGGCUUUGCAUGACUGAUUGAUUGCAUGGCUGCUUUGCACUGCAGCUUGCAUGACAGCAAUGCAAUGCAUGGUUCUGCUGCAAGGCUUUGCAAUGCACGGCUUUGCACUGCAGCUGGGGGUGCUUAACACGCCUUGCACCACGGCUUUGCACGACUGCUUUGCACGGCUGUUUGCACCAUGACUUUGCACCAUGGCUUGCAGCAUGGCUUUGCACUGUGGUUGCUUUGCACUACGGUUUGGACCUUGCACGGGGAGGGGGGGUGACACAUGAGGAGGUCACGUGGGGGGGGGUCACACGGGGCCUUGCACAAGUGCUGGGUCACAAGGGGGGGGUCACACUGGGGCGUCACACAUCCUUGCACGGGGGGGGGAUCCCAUAGGAUACAUAGGGGUUCCAUAGGGGGGU
This 2249-nucleotide long non-coding RNA is filed under the name Coturnix japonica (Japanese quail). Its description in RNAcentral is "lncRNA (ENSCJPG00005003898.1)". The record is from RNAcentral. Lineage: Eukaryota; Metazoa; Chordata; Aves; Galliformes; Phasianidae.